RNAcentral lists this ribosomal RNA (491 nucleotides) under uncultured bacterium. Its description in RNAcentral is "bacterial SSU rRNA". It matches the Rfam family "Bacterial small subunit ribosomal RNA", at positions 8 to 526 of the family's 1533-position model. The record is from RNAcentral.
AGAGUUUGAUCCUGGCUCAGGACUAACGCUGGCGGCGUGCCUAACACAUGCAAGUCGAACGAAGUAGCAAUACUUAGUGGCAGACGGGUGAGUAACACGUAGUCAACCUACCUCAGCGUGGGGGAUAACUAGCCGAAAGGUUAGCUAAUACCGCAUACGAUCGCUAAGUGGCAUCAUUUGGCGAUGAAAGGAGCAAUCCGCGCAGAGACGGGACUGCGUCCCAUUAGUUAGUUGGUGGGGUAACGGCCUACCAAGACUCCGAUGGGUAGCUGGCUUGAGAGAGCGACCAGCCACACUGGAACUGAGACACGGUCCAGACUCCUACGGGAGGCGGCAGUGAGGAAUUUUCCGCAAUGGGGGAAACCCUGACGGAGCGACGCCGCGUGUGGGAAGAAGGCCUUCGGGUCGUAAACCACUGUCGAGGGGGACGAUAUUGACGGUACCCCUGGAGGAAGCCCCGGCUAACUACGUGCCAGCAGCCGCGGUAAUAC